AUGUUGCACAAAGUACUUCAUGAUAUUAUCAUUUAGGAUGGACAAUGCAUGAUUGAUUAAUCAUAUUGCUUCGUACGUUAGAUAAUGGAUUCAUUAUUGAACUUAAUGUAAUGGUUAAAGUAUACAGUCUCUAUAACACAACAGAUGAUAUAGAACACUGCUUAUACGUGGCAGUAUUGAUACGUUGUUCUUUUUCUUCUCACAUAUUUAUAGAAGAAUUAUGACACAUUUGUCUAUUAAAGGAGGCUUUUUAUUUUGAAAUCAAGGUAACUUUCUGGCCUCAUACUUAUUCAAUGUGUGUUAUAGAGUUGGAGUUGGUUUCUAAUUGGAGAUUUGAUUGGCUUUGGAACACAGUCAUUAUAGGUUAUUUUGAAAGAAAGUCUCAGGCUUUUAAAUUAUUGGGAGCUCGUAUUGGGUUCAAAGAAGAUGAGACUAAUUAAAGGGAGUAUCUGAAGUAGCUGAGAAAUCAAAAUAAGAAUCAGAAGAGCACCAUUUGGGACUAUAUAUAUAUAUAUGAUGGCAUAAGGUGGAGAAUAGUGAGAUAGUCCACUAGGAUGGGAGUUUGUGAGUGGACACAAAAGCAAUGUUUUGAUCAGAGAUCAUGGUCAAGCUAUAGAUCAUACUCUUUUAGAUAUUCACUGCUGUGUUGAGACAAUUUGUCUGCA
RNAcentral lists this unclassified non-coding RNA (665 nucleotides) under Hevea brasiliensis (rubber tree). Lineage: Eukaryota; Viridiplantae; Streptophyta; Magnoliopsida; Malpighiales; Euphorbiaceae. The record is from RNAcentral.